This 689-nucleotide ribosomal RNA is filed under the name uncultured bacterium. RNAcentral's name for it is "bacterial SSU rRNA". It matches the Rfam family "Bacterial small subunit ribosomal RNA", at positions 32 to 715 of the family's 1533-position model. The record is from RNAcentral.
AACGCUAGCUACAGGCUUAACACAUGCAAGUCGAGGGGUAGCACGGAAGAAGCUUGCUUCUUUGGGUGACGACCGGCGCACGGGUGAGUAACGCGUAUCCGACCUGCCCAUGACUCGGGCACAGCCGCUCGAAAGAGCGAUUGAUUCCCGAUAUGUCUAUGAAGUAGAUUCCUGGAUGAAAGAUUUAUCGGUCAUGGAUGGGGAUGCGUAGGAUUAGGUAGUAGGCGGGGUAACGGCCCACCUAGCCGACGAUCCUUAGGGGUUCUGAGAGGAAGGUCCCCCACACUGGUACUGAGACACGGACCAGACUCCUACGGGAGGCAGCAGUGAGGAAUAUUGGUCAAUGGGCGGAAGCCUGAACCAGCCAAGUAGCGUGAAGGAUUACUGCCCUACGGGUUUUAAACUUCUUUUAUGCGAGAGUAAUGUGCGCUACGUGUAGCGUAUUGCAAGUAUCGCAUGAAUAAGCAUCGGCUAACUCCGUGCCAGCAGCCGCGGUAAUACGGAGGAUGCGAGCGUUAUCCGGAUUUAUUGGGUUUAAAGGGAGCGUAGGCGGGAUAUUAAGUCAGUCGUCAAAGCCUGUGGCUCAACCACAGCCCGCGAUUGAUACUGGUAACCUUGAGUGCGGAUGAGGUGGAUGGAAUUCGUGGUGUAGCGGUGAAAUGCUUAGAUAUCACGAAGAACUCCGAUUG